UCAGUAACACGUAGUCAACAUGCCCAGGGACGUGGAUAACCUCGGGAAACUGAGGAUAAACCGCGAUAGGUCAUCACUUCUGGAAUGGGUAAUGACUUAAAUCUACAUGGCCCCUGGAUUGGACUGCGGCCGAUCAGGCUGUUGGUGAGGUAAUGGCCCACCAAACCUGUAACCGGUACGGGCUCUGAGAGGAGGAGCCCGGAGAUGGGCACUGAGACAAGGGCCCAGGCCCUAUGGGGCGCAGCAGGCGCGAAACCUCUGCAAUAGGCGAAAGCUUGACAGGGUUACUCUGAGUGAUUUCCGUUAAGGAGAUCUUUUGGCACCUCUAAAAAUGGUGCAGAAUAAGGGGUGGGCAAGUCUGGUGCCAGC
Molecule: ribosomal RNA, 369 nt
Filed under: unidentified archaeon
Lineage: Archaea
Description: bacterial SSU rRNA
Rfam family: Archaeal small subunit ribosomal RNA
Source: RNAcentral